RNAcentral lists this ribosomal RNA (492 nucleotides) under uncultured bacterium. RNAcentral describes it as "partial 16S ribosomal RNA". It matches the Rfam family "Bacterial small subunit ribosomal RNA", at positions 29 to 507 of the family's 1533-position model. The record is from RNAcentral.
AGUGAACGCUGGCGGUAGGCCUAACACAUGCAAGUCGAACGGCAGCACCGUAAGAGCUUGCUCUUACGGGUGGCGAGUGGCGGACGGGUGAGGAAUACAUCGGAAUCUACUUUUUCGUGGGGGAUAACGUAGGGAAACUUACGCUAAUACCGCAUACGACCUACGGGUGAAAGCAGGGGAUCUUCGGACCUUGCGCGAUUGAAUGAGCCGAUGUCGGAUUAGCUAGUUGGCGGGGUAAAGGCCCACCAAGGCGACGAUCCGUAGCUGGUCUGAGAGGAUGAUCAGCCACACUGGAACUGAGACACGGUCCAGACUCCUACGGGAGGCAGCAGUGGGGAAUAUUGGACAAUGGGCGAAAGCCUGAUCCAGCCAUACCGCGUGGGUGAAGAAGGCCUUCGGGUGGUAAAGCGCUUUUGUUGGGAAAGAAAAGCAGCAGGUUAAUACCCCGCUGUUCUGACGGUACCCAAAGAAUAAGCACCGGCUAACUUCGUG